RNAcentral lists this transfer RNA (72 nucleotides) under Candidatus Auribacterota bacterium. Its description in RNAcentral is "tRNA-Gln". It matches the Rfam family "tRNA". Rfam says of the family: Transfer RNA (tRNA) molecules are approximately 80 nucleotides in length. Lineage: Bacteria; Pseudomonadati; Candidatus Auribacterota. The record is from RNAcentral.
UGGGGCGUAGCCAAAUGGUAAGGCACGGGACUUUGGUUCCCGCAUUUCCAGGUUCGAAUCCUGGCGCCCCAG